UGGCACUCCUUAAAAAAACAUUGGCUCCUAUUUUAUAAGAACGAGAUAUUUCUGAAAUAUCACAUUUCCAGAAAUAUUGUGGUCCAGUAUUUUAAAUAAUUCAAUCUAAAUUACUAGUUUUCUAAAAAUAAAAUAAAAAAUUCUCCUUUUUUUUAUUCUUUCUUUUUUUUAUUUAAAUAUAUGAAGAAGUUGACCGGAUCAAAUCUCAAAAUAUCACCGCAAACCUUAUAUACGGAACGAAUCACAUUUUGAAAAUAUUAUAUAUCACACACCUCGAUUCAGAUAAAUUCUUUAUAAUUUUUAAUUUUAUUCUAAUAAAUUAUUUUUUAUAAUAUUUUUAUAAAAUAAAAAUAUAGUAAUUUUUAGGUAAAAUAUUUUUAACAAUAUAAUGUUUUUUGCGCUACCGGCAAUAUAAUUAAAAAAAGGUUAAGAUAACAAACAACAUUAAAACACGUGCAAUAAUUAGGAGAGCCUUCAUUCAAUUAUCGUACGAAUGGUUAAGAUUUAUAAUAUAUUACAAAAUGAGACAUCCCCAAGUGC
Molecule: long non-coding RNA, 540 nt
Filed under: Phoenix dactylifera (date palm)
Lineage: Eukaryota; Viridiplantae; Streptophyta; Magnoliopsida; Arecales; Arecaceae
Description: long non-coding RNA (PDAC_LNC022174)
Source: RNAcentral